GCCCUGGUGGCUCAGCUGGUAUAGCGCAUGCCAUGUAUGCAGCAGCCCAGGUUUGAAUCUGGCCUGGGCC
Molecule: non-coding RNA, 70 nt
Organism: Albula goreensis
Lineage: Eukaryota; Metazoa; Chordata; Actinopteri; Albuliformes; Albulidae
Source: the annotation of a GenBank genome assembly